CAGCCGACAGAGCUGUGCUACCCAAGUUUUGGCUGCCGUGAUUCUGAGACAACAGGUCUUCCCUGAGCGGCAUCUGGAACGGGGUCGCCACUGAGAGGUCCAGCAAAGUGCUGAACCAGUUGGUUCAGCCACACUGGCACUAUGUGGGUGACAUUUGCCCUGUCCUGUUUGAUCUUCAUGAGGACCCUGGGGAGCAAUGGCACAGGAGCAGGAAGGCAUCCAACAGGGAUCCCCUUUCCCUGCCCUUGAACAAGCAGAAGAAAUGGCAUUUUCUGUUGUGCCUGGACGCAAAUAGGUCCACCUGGGGAGUUUCCCACCUGUGCAAGAUAGAACUGACCACCGCUGGAUGGAGGGACCACUCGCGGUGAGAUGAGAAUGUCCUGCUGAGGCAGUCUGGCCAAGCGUUCCUGACCCCUGGGAGGUGAGCGUCCACAAGAUGGAUGUCGUGCUGCAGACAGAAGUUCCAGAGCCAGAGCGCUUCCUGACAGAGCGCAGACAACUGUUGAUAUAGAAGACCGUGGCCGUGUUGUCCAUUAGGACCUGAACCACACUGCUUUGUAUGUGAGGCAGAACGGCUUGGCAGGAUAUGUGAACCGCCUUGACAUUGAUGUGCAGGGACUGAUCGUGACUGGACCCGUGGCCUUGAGUACUGAGGUCGCCCAGGUGGGCUACCCAACCCAGAUCCAAAGCCUUGAGAGACUGGGGCCGCAAAGGGGACUCCUUCCAGCACCAAAGUGGGAUCUUGCCACCAGGCCCAGGUCGUGGCAGGUGAAACAGACCAGAUUGAGAUGCUUCCACACCUGAUCCACACCUUAUCAACCAGUCGUCGAGGUAUGGGUAGAUUUGGACUCCCUGAUGUUGCAGGAGCCGGAAUGAGAGGUACCCCAAGAUCUUGACAACAGUGGAGGGCAGAACAACUUUCUAGCCUGCUGAGGAGUAUGCAGGCCCAAGGAGCAGACGGUGGCCCAGGAGUCUUUAAGGCAAUGGAGUCUUGCAUCAGUUAGCUCCAAGAAUAGCCCUGUUUCCUCAAAAGGGAGGUCCUGGAGAGUAGUUUGCAUCUCCUGGGACAGCCCGGAGGUCUGUAACCAGGAGCUGCACCUCAUGACUAUCGCAGAGGUGACCACUCUGGACACCUUGCCCUCUUCCACCAGAGUGGUGAACUCCUGCACCUGAUCCUGUGGGAGGCUCUCUUUGAACUUGCUGACAGAGUCACACAGGUUGAAAUUGUAUCUGCCAAGUAGAUCCUGAUCAUUAGAGAUCCUAAAUCGGAAGCUGGGUGUUGAGUAAAUUUUUCUGCCAAAUAAGUCCAAUCUCUUGGCAUCUUUAUUUUUGGGGGUGCCACUUUGCCUGUCCCUGCUUGGCCCUUUCGUUGACAGCAGACAUGACCAGGGACCCCGCAGGACAGUGCGUGUAAAGGUAUUCAUCCCCCUUGGCAGGGGCAUAGUACUUCUUUUCUGCCUCCUUGGACAUGGGCGGAAUGGAAGAUGGGGUCUGCCCCACCAACUUGGCGAUCUUUAGGACCCCUGGGUGAACGGGCAAUGCGACCCGGGCUGGGGCAGAGGAGGGAAUGACAUUGAAGAGGUCAUCGGGUUUCUCAGCUAGCUCCUUAACCUCCAA
This is a long non-coding RNA of Trachemys scripta elegans, 1617 nucleotides long. RefSeq lists it as uncharacterized. Lineage: Eukaryota; Metazoa; Chordata; Testudines; Emydidae. The record is from RefSeq and is a predicted model, not a curated record. The transcript is spliced from 3 exons.